GCAGAUGAAAGAAUACAGAAAGAGAACUUCCAGACACUGUGGUGAUGAAUGGUCCCACCCUGUGGCUGUAUGCUGGUUUGGUGCACAGGCAGCUUGUCUUUGUUUCCCAGACCUGAAGGUGUCACAUGUGACCACUGGGUGGCAGCACGAAGCAGCUUAAUGUCCACAUUGGCUAUCACUGCCUGUUUACUGAAAGGGAUGACGUCACACACUGAAGGCUCCACAGCAACACGAAUAACAGCCAAAGACUCCCACAGCAAUGUGAUUACUGCCAAUUAUUAACUAAAUGUUAUGACGUAUUUCCAGAGGAGAAAGGCUGUGAUAAGGUUCACCAGAAGAGAAGAUUUUGGGGAAAUGUCAUCCUCUUGGUGUAAAACGAAACAAACUUCAAUGAAUAGGGGAUUCCUGUCACCUGUAGGAACCAAACGGGAUUUGGAAAAGCAGGAUGACCCGACAGUGCCAUGGUAACACUUGAACAGGUCACUGACAACAACAAUAUCUCAACAAAAUCUGAUGUUGUUGUUAGUGAGAAGCAGAAAAAAUAACGCUGAUGAACAUAAACAUGAUUUCUGUCGCCACAAGUUGGUUAAAUUUGAAAAAGAAAUGGAUCACUUUCAGUUUCUCUUCUUGUUCCUGAAAUAUUCUUAAGAAUGCACAACUAAAUUAUGCAUCACCUUCAUUUUCUGCAGCAUGUU
This is a long non-coding RNA of Epinephelus lanceolatus (giant grouper), 695 nucleotides long. RefSeq lists it as uncharacterized. NCBI's taxonomy places the organism in Eukaryota, Metazoa, Chordata, Actinopteri, Perciformes, Serranidae. The record is from RefSeq and is a predicted model, not a curated record.